AGUAGAAUUAAGACAUCCAGGCUAAAUGACUGAGCUGAGCUCAAUGAAGCCAAAACAAGUGCGCCCAGGCUUAAUUGGUUGCACAAAGACCAAGCCAGGAUGAUUAGACACGGAUUCAUCAAGCCAGGUGAAACCAAUCCUGGAUAGGUGCGCGCUCACGGAUCACUCAACUAGACCCCGCCACCGAUCACAGAUUCACCGAUUCACCAUGGCAACUAGCGGCGUUCUUUUCCCUGUCAGAGGCACAAAUCCAUACGAGGAGGUAAAAGACAUAAUUAAGAAGAAAGGCAACACCGCCACAGUGAUAAAGCAAAGAGAAAAAGCGUGGCAAAGUAUUGCAGACCGCCCGAAUGCAUAAGUAGUGCACAAUUACACACUCACCGCUCUGCUGAAACAUCACAAUUACAAUUAAAAUAUUUAAUUCACAUCUCCAAAAACGCAAUUGUACUCUGAUAAUAAAACAGUUCAUUUUUUUAUUGAAAUGGACUUCAAAUAUGAGUAAAAUUGUGUAAAGUAACUCCAUCACACUGGAUAAGGCUUCAAUAAAUUAUAAUGAAAGCUUACAUUAUUACUACGCUCAUUAUGUACUCUGCUUCUUAUGUUGUCCACCGUUGACUUUUUUCUGCUUUUAUUAAUGUAAAGCUGCUUUGAAACAAUUGUGAAAAGCGCUUUAUAAAUAAAAUUUAAUUGAAUAAAUAGAUGAGCUAUUAAUAAUAAUCAAUUUAAUUUAUAAAGCGCCUUUCAAAGGAUCCAAGGCCACUUGCUCAUUGCACUGCAAAAAAUGACUUUCUUCGUGUUUUUGUCUUGCUUUCAGUAAAAAUAUAAAAAAAUUCUUAAAUUAAGAUGUAUUAAACAUUUACUUGAAAUAUACUUUUUCAUAAACAAUUAUUUUAAAACAAAUUUUCAUAUUCCAUUGGCUGAUUUUUUCCCUUAUUUUUACUAGGUCAUUUUGCUCAUCAAGAAAAUGCAUCUUAAUUUAAGAAUUUUUUGAUAUUUUUACUGAAAAAAGGACAAAAAUAAAAAGUAAGUCAUUUUUUGCAGUGUGACUCCAUUGAAUGUUCUUGUGUGAUAAAGAGAGUCUCUCUUUUUGUGUGUGGUGUGUGUGAUGUAGAUUAAAUAUGACCGGGCCAAAAUGGACAUGGCAGCAGGUCAAAAUCCAAUACAAGAACAUUCUGCAGAAUGCAGUGAAAAAGAAUACCCAGAGACAAGGCACGGGUGGUGGGUCACCAAAAGCUGACCUCACCCCAGCAGAGGCCAGCUUUGGAGCUAAAUGGCAGGCCUGUUGGAGGGAAUCCCUGGGGGAAAAGAGACAAGCAUAGGUCCCUCCCAAGAUGCCACCCGCUUCAUACAAGUGUCUGGCAGCACUGUGUUACUGUUAGAGCCACCAGCAUGAGCAGCAGACAAUGCUGAUCCAGUGAGUACUCCAUCAAAGGCAUACUGUAGGCCUGGCAUGUCUUGUCUACUAGCUUCAAUAUGAAUCAGAUUAAAUGUGAUAGGGUCAAGGCCCCAUUUCAUCAGCACAUAACGGCGAUGAUGAUUAGGAGACCAUCUCUCUGGAUUCCAGAAGGCAUAAGGACCCAGUGUCAUUGGUGCACUGGACUGCACACACAUAAGGAUAAAAGCCCCCUCAGGUGCCCAUAAGGCAGAUUUUGUAAAUAUGAAAUCUUUUCACAGCAUUAAUGUUCAGGUGAACAUAACGUUUUGAUCUUUUCCAUUGAACACUGGCAAAAUGGCCUGGCUCAGUCCAUGACUGCAGAAUCUUUCAGACCUCUGAAAUCUAUCAGCGCCUAUCACAAGGUGAAGUUUUUGGUGUGUUGUUGGGAGACAGGGGGUAUGGCUGCCAGCCUUUUUUCCUGACACCUUUCACAGACCCCCAGGAAGCACAACAGGCCUACAAUUAUGCCCAUGCCAGGACAAGGCCCAGAGUUGAAAUGACCUUUGGCCUCCUGAAGGCACGCUCUCACUGCCUUCACAAAUUUAGGGUCAGCCCUGUGAGGGCAUGUGACUUUACUGUGGCUUGUGCUGUCCUCCACAAUGUGGCCUGCCUGAGGAAGGAGAGGGCAUUUGUCCUGCAUUUAUUUCAGUGUGCAGACAUGCAGGGUGUGUUAUAUACAGACCUUUGAAUGUGUAUUUAUCCUUUGGUUGUGUGACUUCAGUUUGGAAAGGAGCUGAUGGUUUACCUGCUUUGUUUUGUCCUUAUUCAAUAAAUAAACAUAAUGUUACACUUUGUGCUUUUAUAUUUAUAUGGAAUGUGUAUUUUAUACAACAGAGUAUAAGGGCCACACAGAGGAAAGGAGAAAGUCAUACAUUUGACGCUGGUUCUUUCUGUGGAAAGAUGCAUAUUGUUUAUACAGUCCUGAUACUUAUAACAAUUUGAUGCUGACCUGACCUGCCAAAAGAUUAAGUAUGUCCUUGUUUCUGAAACCAUGCUGAAGUACAAUUCCACGAAAUGCCCCACAACUGUUAUUGUAACAACUGUCCUCCUCUAAAACAACAAGUUACAAUAUUACGACUUCAUUCUCUGUCUGUUUUUUUUCCUCUGUGGCCCUAAUGUUCUAUCAUUUUAUAUAUAGCCUUAUAGUCUUUAGGAAACUGUAAAUUAUCUAAUGAUAGCAACAUCAUCUAAAAAUCAUAAUUUAUCCAAAAUUAUUGAAAUUAAUAAUCACAAACAUUAAAAAAAUGACAGUGGGUCUAGUUAUAUGUGAUAACAAUGUAUAUUGGGCAGUGAAAUAACUAUUGGUUUCUGUUUGUGGUGACUGCUGACUGACAUAAGGGAUGAGAUUAAAUAGAUCCUGGAAUUUAGCCUGGUCUGGAGCAGGCUAGCUCAACAGAAUAGAUCUCCAUGGUAAUUUAUACCAUAACAUAUCCUCCUGCCCCCUAUCCAGCUUUAGUGCAACCGGAUCACGGAUCAGUUGAGCCAGGAUCACCAAGAUAUCCCGGCUUAAUCCCUUAUCCUAGU
Misgurnus anguillicaudatus (oriental weatherfish) is the source of this 2959-nucleotide non-coding RNA. Lineage: Eukaryota; Metazoa; Chordata; Actinopteri; Cypriniformes; Cobitidae. The record is from RefSeq and is a predicted model, not a curated record.